UACGAAGGGGGCUAGCGUUGCUCGGAAUCACUGGGCGUAAAGCGCACGUAGGCGGAUUGUUAAGUCAGGGGUGAAAUCCUGGAGCUCAACUCCAGAACUGCCUUUGAUACUGGCGAUCUCGAGUCCGGGAGAGGUGAGUGGAACUGCGAGUGUAGAGGUGAAAUUCGUAGAUAUUCGGAAGAACACCAGUGGCGAAGGCGGCUCACUGGACUGGUAUUGACGCUGAGGUGCGAAAGCGUGGGGAGCAAACAGG
This 253-nucleotide ribosomal RNA is filed under the name uncultured bacterium. RNAcentral's name for it is "partial 16S ribosomal RNA". It matches the Rfam family "Bacterial small subunit ribosomal RNA", at positions 524 to 776 of the family's 1533-position model. The record is from RNAcentral.